Molecule: long non-coding RNA, 3744 nt
Filed under: Cricetulus griseus (Chinese hamster)
Lineage: Eukaryota; Metazoa; Chordata; Mammalia; Rodentia; Cricetidae
Description: lncRNA (ENSCGRG00015030492.1)
Source: RNAcentral
CAAAAGGGAACUUCAGGGAUAUGGAGCAGAGCAGUAGAAUAGUCAGUUUUACCUAUUUCCUUUUGGCAGAGCCUCUCUACUCACCUGAGACUCCUUUUGCUUACAAUUCUUUUACAGGCAUGUCCACUAGGCCUUGUCUACAUCACCAGCUUUUAUCACAGCUUCCUGGAACAGUAAGUCAUGCAGCAUUGAUAGAUGGAAGCCAGAUUUGAAUUAGUAUUUCCAAAAGUACAUCUGUAGGAACAUACUGUGAAAGUCAGCAUGGCAUCCAAAAAUGUUACAUUUAUCCCCAGACUCCCUGUGACUUUACUUCCCUUUUACCUAUCAUAAAUUAUAAUUUUAAUGUUUCCUAGGAUUACUUUAGGUUCUUACACAAGUUGGGCUAAGAUAAAAUGUUCCCGAUUUUCAGUAUUAUUUUUACAUAGCUUAAUAAAAAGGAAAGAAUAAUAUGUUGAGUAAAACUCUCAAUAAAUAUUUUCUCCUGAAUUUCUAUGCAGUGUCAAAUAUACACCAAAGGCUAAAUACACAGUAUAACUUCAAAAAGCAUAAGUGCCCAGGCUCUGUAAAUGCAGAUUCUGUGUGCAUUUAUAUUGUUCAGGAAGAACUCUUCUUGUCUUCAGAUUUUUGAAAAAAUAUUCUUUCAUAUAUUGCAUCCCAACUGAAGUUUCUCUUCCCUCCACUUUUCCAAGUCCAUCCCUGUUCACCUCCCCUAUCCCCCAGAUCCACUCCUCCUCCAUUUUCAUUCAAGAAAUGAACAGGCCACCCACAUAUAUCAACUGAACAAUACAUAACAAGUUACAAUAAGACUAGGCACAUGUCCCCAUAUCAAGGAUGCAUGAGGCCACCCACUAGGAGGAAAAAUGUCCCAAGAACAGGCAAACCAGUUAGAGACAACCCCUGCUCCCACUGUUAGGACUCUCACAAUAAACCCAAAUGCACAAUAAUAACACAUAUGCAGAGGACCUAGAUCAGACCCAUACAGGCUCCAUGAUUUUUGCUUCAGUCUCUGUGAGCCCUAUGGGCCUUUUUUAAUGGAUGCAAUGGACUGUAUUCCUCUGGUGUCCUCAACCUCUCUGGCUUGUUAUCAUACAAUACUCUAUUUCUUCAGGCAAUGUAUUUUCAUAAAGAUGUUCCUACUCACCAUAGACAUACCAACAACUGCCUCAUUCAAUACUUUUCACUUUUAACAUAAUUAUGUAUUAUUUGCAUUACAAAAUAUAAAAAUAUUUAAAUAAAUAUCAGAAGUAUACUAUACAAAUUACUGAGUGACAACAUUUUGUCAUGCUUCAUUUAACAUAGCACUUGCAACAUACAAAUCACUUAAUAAACAGGUUAAAUAAAUUCAUACUUGCAACUAACAUUUAUUUAUAUGAGGCAUGGCAAAACAGAAACAAACUUACGCUUAAACAAGAAACAAUUUAUCUGAAAAUUCCAUUGCAAUGGGGAGAAUUCUUACACUACAGUAGUUGUCUGUCCCUACAAGGCAAAGAAAAAUGCUUUUACUUUAGAGGGAUAAGUAUAUUUGGGGGGAAGUUCACUGGGAUUCAAUGAAAAUUAAUAUUCAGUGUUAAAGAGAAAAGACUGGAGAGACAGAUAAUUCAGUAAAAGGCUGAGAGAAUGGCCCCAUCGGCUCUUGUGUUUGAGUGCUUUGUUCCCAGAUGGUGAAACUGUUUUGGAAAAAUUAAGAGACAUUGCCUUAUUGGAGGACAUGUGCCACUGGGAGUGGUCUUUGGGGUUUCAAAAGCCUAUGUCAUUCCAGUUGACUUUCUCUCACUUGUGUAUGUGCUGUGACCUCUGCCCAGUCACCUGCUGAUUGAUGGCCAUACAUAUAUACAUAUGCACAUAAGAAAAUAAAUCUCUAAAUUAAAUAGAAAAUAAAUAGCAGAGAGACUCGCUGGCUAGCAAAUGUAUUCAUUCAUACCUCAUUGGGUUACCAAGUGAAAACCUGCUAAAUUUUAUUUAAAAUUCUUUUUUUGUAAAGUGAAAUUUAUUGUAUUAUUGGAUUUUCUGUUUUAGUUUCCUCACUAGGAUCAAAUCAAAUAUUAUUUCAGUUUCAUUUUAUUUUACUUUAUGUUUUACUGAAAAUAGAUCUCUCUUACAUAAUAUAUUUGGAUUCUUGUUCCCGCUCCCCCAGAUCCUCCCCACUUCCCACACACCUUCAUUUUUUCUCUUUCUUAUUAAAAUCCAAACAGGCAUUUAACAUAAUCAAAUCAAAUAAAAAUAAAACAGAAAAGGAUAAAACAAAUAAACAGGAAAAAUAAAAGAUCCGAAAAAAAAGCCUAAUGAACACAUACAGAAGCUAAGACACUUGCAUUCAUAUGCACAAAAAGAUAUAAAAAUAAAUUUGGGAAUUAUGGUACAUAAGCAAAAGAUCUCUAAGGUUAAAAAAAAAAUGGCCAGACAAAACAAAAACCUCCCCAAGUACCAUUGACUUUAUCUAAUGUCUGUUAUGUACUUCUAGGCAUGUGGCCUACCCUUAAGUUUGGUUUGUAUAUGCAAUAAGAUACUGUUGGAGAAAACUAACUUUUUCUUUCAGAGUGGUUAUCAGUUGGAGAUAGCUUCAAGGUUAGAGAUGAGAGCUGUUUCUGCUUCCCAUCUCAGAGCUAAGACUCCAUCUGGAUUAGGCCUGCGCUGUUCUCUAUGCAUACUGCUACAGUCUCUUUCUCAGAACUCAAGCUCUUGUUAACUUGACCAGACACUGAUCAGAAGAAGCCAUGAAAUUCCAGCCUUGAAUGCUGCAGUCUCUAGGAAUGCACAAUGAUGGUGUGAGCAGCAUGAACCUGUGUAAUGGUGUGAGAAACAUGGACCUGUGUGGUGGUGUGAGCAGCAUGGACCUGUGUGAUGGUGUGAGCAGCCUGGACUUGUGUGAUGGUGUGAGCAUUCUGGACCUGUUUGAUGGUGGGAGCAGAAUGAACCUGUGUGAUACUCACAAAGUAGUUAGACUGUUAUCAGGGUAAUGGCUUAACCAGAGAUUUGAAUUUUCUCAGGUGGGUUGGAUAGGUACCAUGUAUGUUUCUGUUUCUUUUAUACUUAUGCUAAAUGCAACUUUCUAGAAAAACAUAUUAUUUUAAGUUCAAUAAUAGUAAACUAUGGGUUAAAACUAUAUUUUCAGAACAUUUUUCAAGAAUGUGUCUUUUACAUAAUGUUCUAUUCAUCUCCUUCCUAAAAACCUCCAAGGAAAAGUCACAUUUUAUGUCUGGAACUGAUUUGGAGUUAAAUAUGGGGUUAAAGCUCAUGCCUCUUAGUGUAGCCAAUUAUUUGUUCUUUCUAAUAACAGAAAACCAUUAUUAUCCUAAUUGAGGAACACAAUAAAUUCUCAAGUGGUAUCUCGUGACUCCCAGUCUUUUAAAAACAAAAUUAUGUGUUAGGCAAAUGCUCGGCCAGAUAAAUGUGGUUAGCUGUGUUUUCCUUGGAAAGAAGCAAAGCAAAGAGAGAGACAGUGGCUGGGUUCAGUUCAAGGGUGUCGAUGGCUAGUUCAUUUUCAUGGACAAAAGUUAUAAUAUUCUGGAGUAGAGGUGGUAUCAUGUUGAUAAUAGAGAAAUAAAAAUGUCUUUUGUGAGCAAAUGUAUUUUUAAAAAAUUGAUAUGCUAAGUCUUUUUUGGAGUGUUUCAAAGAUACAAGAAGCAAGAAAAGAAUAAACUAGUCCUCUCUUUCACUCACUCCCCCUCCUCUGUGUGUGUGUGUGUGUGUGUGUGUGUGUGUGUGUAAGAGACUGACUCUGUUGUUUUCCUAUGGCUAUCCUCC